AUUGAACGCUGGCGGCAGGCCUAACACAUGCAAGUCGAACGGUAGCACAGAGAGCUUGCUCUCGGGUGACGAGUGGCGGACGGGUGAGUAAUGUCUGGGAAACUGCCCGAUGGAGGGGGAUAACUACUGGAAAUGGUAGCUAAUACCGCAUAACGUCGCAAGACCAAAGUGGGGGACCUUCGGGCCUCACACCAUCGGAUGUGCCCAGAUGGGAUUAGCUAGUAGGUGGGGUAAUGGCUCACCUAGGCGACGAUCCCUAGCUGGUCUGAGAGGAUGACCAGCCACACUGGAACUGAGACACGGUCCAGACUCCUACGGGAGGCAGCAGUGGGGAAUAUUGCACAAUGGGCGCAAGCCUGAUGCGGCCAUGCCGCGUGUAUGAAGAAGGCCUUCGGGUUGUAAAGUACUUUCAGCGGGGAGGAAGGCGGUGAAGUUAAUAGCUUCACCGAUUGACGUUACCCGCAGAAGAAGCACCGGCUAACUCCGUGCCAGCCGCCGCCGUAA
RNAcentral lists this ribosomal RNA (504 nucleotides) under uncultured bacterium. RNAcentral's name for it is "partial 16S ribosomal RNA". It matches the Rfam family "Bacterial small subunit ribosomal RNA", at positions 30 to 523 of the family's 1533-position model. The record is from RNAcentral.